GACGAACGCUGGCGGCGUGCUUAACACAUGCAAGUCGAACGGAAACGCCCUGCUUUUGUGGGCUGCUCGAGUGGCGAACGGGUGAGUAACACGUGAGUAACCUGCCCUUUACUUUGGGAUAACUUCAGGAAACUGGGGCUAAUACCGGAUAGGAGCUCCUGCUGCAUGGUGGGGGUUGGAAAGUUUCGGCGGUUGGGGAUGGACUCGCGGCUUAUCAGCUUGUUGGUGGGGUAGUGGCUUACCAAGGCUUUGACGGGUAGCCGGCCUGAGAGGGUGACCGGCGACAUUGGGACUGAGAUACGGCCCAGACUCGUACGGGAGGCAGCAGUGGGGAAUAUUGCACAAUGGGCGGAAGCCUGAUGCAGCAACGCCGCGUGCGGGAUGAAGGCCUUGGGGUUGUAAACCGCUUUCGCCUGAGACGAAGCGUGAGUGACGGUAAUGGGUAAAGAAGCACCGGCUAACUACGUG
Molecule: ribosomal RNA, 468 nt
Filed under: uncultured bacterium
Lineage: Bacteria
Description: partial 16S ribosomal RNA
Rfam family: Bacterial small subunit ribosomal RNA
Source: RNAcentral